UACGAAGGGGGCUAGCGUUGCUCGGAAUUACUGGGCGUAAAGGGAGCGUAGGCGGACAUUUAAGUCAGAGGUGAAAUCCCGGAGCUUAACUUCGGAACUGCCUUUGAUACUGGCUAUCUUGAGUGUGGGAGAGGUAUGUGGAACUCCGAGUGUAGAGGUGAAAUUCGUAGAUAUUCGGAAGAACACCAGUGGCGAAGGCGACAUACUGGCUCAUUACUGACGCUGAGGCUCGAAAGCGUGGGGAGCAAACAGG
Molecule: ribosomal RNA, 253 nt
Filed under: uncultured bacterium
Lineage: Bacteria
Description: partial 16S ribosomal RNA
Rfam family: Bacterial small subunit ribosomal RNA
Source: RNAcentral